UAGGGAAUUUUUCACAAUGGACGAAAGUCUGAUGAAGCAAUGCCGCGUGAGUGAUGAAGGUCUUCGGAUCGUAAAGCUCUGUUGUAAAGGAAGAAUAGAUAGAAGAGGAAAUGCUUUUAUUUUGACGGUACUUUACCAGAAAGCCACGGCUAACUAUGUGCCAGCAGCCGCGGUAAUACAUAGGUGGCAAGCGUUAUCCGGAUUUAUUGGGCGUAUAGGGUGCGUAGGCGGUUACGUAAGUUUAGGGUCAAAUCCAGGAGCUCAACUCCUGUUCGCCUUGAAAACUACGUAACUAGAAUACAAGAGAGGUAAGCGGAAUUCCAUGUGUAGCGGUGAAAUGCGUAGAUAUAUGGAAGAACACCUGUGGCGAAAGCGGCUUACUGGCUUGUUAUUGACGCUGAGGCACGAAAGCGUGGGGAGCAAAUA
Molecule: ribosomal RNA, 426 nt
Filed under: uncultured bacterium
Lineage: Bacteria
Description: bacterial SSU rRNA
Rfam family: Bacterial small subunit ribosomal RNA
Source: RNAcentral